RNAcentral lists this ribosomal RNA (496 nucleotides) under uncultured bacterium. RNAcentral's name for it is "partial 16S ribosomal RNA". It matches the Rfam family "Bacterial small subunit ribosomal RNA", at positions 28 to 506 of the family's 1533-position model. The record is from RNAcentral.
GAUGAACGCUGGCGGCGUGCCUAAUACAUGCAAGUCGAGCGAACAGAUAAGGAGCUUGCUCCUUUGACGUUAGCGGCGGACGGGUGAGUAACACGUGGGUAACCUACCUAUAAGACUGGGAUAACUUCGGGAAACCGGAGCUAAUACCGGAUAACAUUUGGAACCGCAUGGUUCUAAAGUGAAAGAUGGUUUUGCUAUCACUUAUAGAUGGACCCGCGCCGUAUUAGCUAGUUGGUAAGGUAACGGCUUACCAAGGCAACGAUACGUAGCCGACCUGAGAGGGGGAUCGGCAACACUGGAACUGAGACACGUUCCAGACUCCUACGGGAGGCGGCGGUAGGGAAUCUUCCGCAAUGGGCGAAAGCCUGACGGAGCAACGCCGCGUGAGUGAUGAAGGGUUUCGGCUCGUAAAACUCUGUUAUUAGGGAAGAACAAACGUGUAAGUAACUGUGCACGUCUUGACGGUACCUAAUCAGAAAGCCACGGCUAACUACGU